RNAcentral lists this ribosomal RNA (253 nucleotides) under uncultured bacterium. RNAcentral describes it as "partial 16S ribosomal RNA". It matches the Rfam family "Bacterial small subunit ribosomal RNA", at positions 524 to 776 of the family's 1533-position model. The record is from RNAcentral.
UACGUAGGCAGCGAGCGUUGUUCGGAGUUACUGGGCGUAAAGGGUGCGUAGGCGGUUGUUUAAGUUUGGUGUGAAAUCUCCCGGCUCAACUGGGAGGGUGCGCCGAAUACUGAAUGACUAGAGUGUGGGAGAGGUGCGUGGAAUUCCUGGUGUAGCGGUGAAAUGCGUAGAUAUCAGGAGGAACACCUGUGGCGAAAGCGGCGCACUGGACCACAACUGACGCUGAGGCGCGAAAGCGUGGGGAGCAAACAGG